GAGUGUGCUCCCAUGGCCAUGAAGAAAAGAAGAGCCUGUGCAUUUGCAUUUUAAGGUCGAAGGGUGACCCAUAAUCUUUAACUUAUCAUAAUGACUUGAUAUUUGGGAGGCCCUUGAAGCUUGAGGUCCAUGUUCUAUAGGCCAUAAUUCCCCUCUCAGAGCCCCUCUGACUCCUCUCGUGGGAUUCACGUUUUUAGACUAUAUGUAUGCUUGCUGCCUCUUUUGUUUCUAGCGUUUCUGUAGUCUAUUUUGUUCUUUUCUUUUUCGUUUCCUUUACUUAGUGUUUCAAUUUUUGUGGUUUUUUUUUUCCCUGAUAACCGCAGCCCUUAAGAUCGCCUUCCAGAUAACUAUGAAAGCGUUUUGAGUCAUAGCUGCGCUAUAUUAAGCUCUAAUUGGGUUUUCUUUUUAGGGUUUUCCUAUUGAGUUGUCCUUCUUGUCCCACUGGAGAUUGCUUGAGGCAUUGCCUUGUUCUCUGUGCCUGUGCUUCCCAUUUUGUUUCAACUAAUGGGAAUCAGGUCCGUUGAUACUUUAUCAAAUGGUUCGUUCUCUCUUGGGUGGGAAACAAAUGUAAAAUUUUGCCCAGAUUUGUAUUUGUUUUCUUGGCAAGAAUGAUGAAUCAAUUAGAUGUUUGAAUGGAAAUAAUCCAUUACCCUUUGUUUGAAUCCUUAGUUGUGCAGUGGAAAUGAAGAGAAAAGAAAAGAAAGGAAAUCUAAUUUCCAUUAUGAACUCUACUAGUGAGGCAUAUUAAUUGUUUGACUUGCCCAUAUUUUGCUAGUUGAUUUCAAUCAAGUAUUUGUUUUUAUUGUCUGUCUGAACUGAAAUGCUGUCAUAAUUGUGCAAUUUCGUGUGAUUUGAAUCAUCUGUCUUUGUUCUGUUGGUUUCUUACCUGGUUGUUGUAAAUUCAUUAGCUUUAUAUGUUAUUAUUCUGUGAGUGGCGGAAAGUCUUAUUCACAGACAUCUUCGUUUCAGCAACAGAAACAUUUCCACCUGAUGCGUAUGUGCACCAUCACGGCUGCCAAUCCCUAUUUUAUGGAAUGGAGCUUUUAAAUAAGUGAAUUGGUUAAUGAAAUAUAUGUUGAUGAUGACAAAUACAGGGUUGUUUCUCAAAACAUUUGCAGUGGCCGCCUAAGAGCUUUCACCUUCGCCGGGCUUGAGAGCUGGUGCUGCUUCAAUGCUUCCUUGGAUGUCUGAGACUCCAAUUCCCAAAUAAAUAAGAGAGUUACAGCACUUAAUUGCUUCAUUUGAUCAGGUUAAACUCUUAGGCUUGAGAGCUCCGUGGAUGUCUGAAACCUUCAUUCCAGUCCUAUUAGAUUUAACAUCUGUGGUUGUAAUUACUGCCCACGAUUGAUUUGAGAUGAGCGUUCUUUGGUGUCAUCAUGUUAUCGUGGAAAGUUGCAUGGUUAUGGUAUAAUGUAACAUGUGUGCAGAGCCCGCAGAUUGAAUUUUUGUUGAUAGAUGAUUUAGAAAUCCAAAGGCUUGUACCUCAAAGCAUUUCUAGUGGC
Long non-coding RNA from Hevea brasiliensis (rubber tree), 1502 nucleotides. RefSeq lists it as uncharacterized. The record is from RefSeq and is a predicted model, not a curated record. NCBI's taxonomy places the organism in Eukaryota, Viridiplantae, Streptophyta, Magnoliopsida, Malpighiales, Euphorbiaceae. The transcript has 2 exons.